RNAcentral lists this ribosomal RNA (462 nucleotides) under uncultured bacterium. Its description in RNAcentral is "partial 16S ribosomal RNA". It matches the Rfam family "Bacterial small subunit ribosomal RNA", at positions 338 to 795 of the family's 1533-position model. The record is from RNAcentral.
CCUACGGGAGGCAGCAGUGAGGAAUAUUGGUCAAUGGACGCAAGUCUGAACCAGCCAAGUAGCGUGCAGGAUGACGGCCCUCCGGGUUGUAAACUGCUUUUAGUUGGGAAUAAAAGGGGGCUCGUGAGCCCCGUCUUGUAUGUACCAUCUGAAAAAGGUCCGGCUAAUUCCGUGCCAGCAGCCGCGGUAAUACGGAAGGUCCGGGCGUUAUCCGGAUUUAUGGGGUUUAAGGGGGGCGUAGGGCGGCUUUUAAGUCAGCUGUGAAAGUCCGGGGCUCAACCGUGGAAUUGCAGUUGAAACUGGAGGCCUUGAGUGCACACAGGGAAGGCGGAAUGCAUGGUGUAGCGGUGAAAUGCUUAGAUAUCAUGAAGAACUCCGAUCGCGAAGGCAAGUGUCCGGGGUGCAACUGACGCUGAGGCACGAAAGUGCGGGUAUCAAACAGGAUUAGAUACCCCUGUAGUC